RNAcentral lists this ribosomal RNA (661 nucleotides) under Streptomyces netropsis. RNAcentral describes it as "bacterial LSU rRNA". It matches the Rfam family "Bacterial large subunit ribosomal RNA", at positions 1347 to 1894 of the family's 2925-position model. The record is from RNAcentral. Lineage: Bacteria; Bacillati; Actinomycetota; Actinomycetes; Kitasatosporales; Streptomycetaceae.
UAAGGGUUCCUGGGUCAAGCUGAUCUGCCCAGGGUAAGUCGGGACCUAAGGCGAGGCCGACAGGCGUAGUCGAUGGACAACCGGUUGAUAUUCCGGUACCCGCUUUGAAACGCCCAAUAUCGAAUCAGACGAUGCUAAGCCCGUGAAGCCGUUCCGGAYCCUUCGGGUGAAGGGAAGUGGUGGAGCCGGUGACCCGGAGCUGUAGUAGGUAAGCGAUGGGGUGACGCAGGAAGGUAGUCCAGCCCGGGCGGUGGUAGUCCCGGGGUAAGGGUGUAGGGCGCUGUCUAGGCAAAUCCGGACAGCAUGAAGCCUGAGACCUGAUGCCGAGCCGAUUGUGGUGAAGUGGAUGAUCCUAUGCUGUCGAGAAAAGCCUCUAGCGAGUUUCAUGGCGGCCCGUACCCUAAACCGACUCAGGUGGUCAGGUAGAGAAUACCGAGGCGUUCGGGUGAACUAUGGUUAAGGAACUCGGCAAAAUGCCCCCGUAACUUCGGGAGAAGGGGGGCCAUGUCUGGUGAGGGAACUUGCUUCCUGAGCUGGGUGUGGCCGCAGAGACCAGCGAGAAGCGACUGUUUACUAAAAACACAGGUCCGUGCGAAGCCGUAAGGCGAUGUAUACGGACUGACGCCUGCCCGGUGCUGGAACGUUAAGGGGACCGGUUAGC